Molecule: ribosomal RNA, 253 nt
Filed under: uncultured bacterium
Lineage: Bacteria
Description: partial 16S ribosomal RNA
Rfam family: Bacterial small subunit ribosomal RNA
Source: RNAcentral
UACAGAGGGUGCAAGCGUUAAUCGGAAUUACUGGGCGUAAAGCGUGCGUAGACGGUUAUCUAAGUCGGGUGUGAGAGCCCCGGGCUCAACCUGGGAAUUGCAUUCGAGACUGAAUAGCUAGGGUUCGGAAGAGGGAAGCGGAAUUUCCGGUGUAGCGGUGAAAUGCGUAGAUAUCGGAAGGAACACCAGUGGCGAAAGCGGCUUCCUGGUCCAGAACCGACGUUCAGGCACGAAAGCUAGGGGAGCAAACAGG